Molecule: long non-coding RNA, 931 nt
Filed under: Physcomitrium patens
Lineage: Eukaryota; Viridiplantae; Streptophyta; Bryopsida; Funariales; Funariaceae
Description: long non-coding RNA (PPAT_LNC009336)
Source: RNAcentral
UUGUUCCACGAGAAUUGCUUGGUGUUGCCGAGAGGUCGCGGAUGAGAGUAAUACAUGAAGAAGAAGCCAAUUGCUAGCGCCACACAUAGAAGGCCGAUUGUCAAGUAAGCCGUGCCGACGAAGUUAUUCUUACCGCCCAUCCAACUGGUAGUGGAUAGAACCAGCUUCUUCUGGCCAUUGAAGCUGAAGCAGUUGUACACGUUCUGGAUGUUCACUUGCAGCUCGUCGCCAGGGUACAGGUCUCGCUCGAUCCGUCCCCACAAUUUGCGAAACUUGGACAAAGCAGCGGGGCGCAUCCACACCCAGAGGUCCUCGUUGUCUCUCAGCGGUGAGUCCACAGGCAAUUUCCCUCCGCCGAUGUACGCUGAGGGGUUAUUGUUCUGGAAAUUGGAGGCAUACACAGUGCUGCUCACUUUGUCCAUGUCCGAUUUCCAGGCAAUGCCUUUUUUGUUGACAGGAACAGACGUGCCGUUGUUUAGGGCUAGGCUGUAGGUGUCAUUGAAGAAGCUCCAUGCAACGAGGCCGCAGGGAAUGACAGGCUGACCUCCGACGGAGUCCUCUGGUGCACAGAUUUUGAGUUGCUCGGGGCUGGCUUGUUGGCCCUGCAAUUGAGGCUCAGACUUGCUCUUGACAUAGCGAUGGUGGUUUUGAUGAAAAUUGGUGAUUUCGUAGUACAUGUAGAUGGGCUGCUUCAUGAGCUUCAGGAUCCUAAUUGUGCGGGUGCAGUUUUUAGGGUUACUGGGGUUCUUGAUGAAGCUAAUUCGUUCCUCUCUUGUGCGAAGGCUUUGGUUCACUUGUGCAGCGGAGUUGUCGAGACACGCGUGCCCGUAGUGGUCAACCAAUUCCACGACGCUUGUCGACGCAAGGAGUGUGGCGAUACCGAUGGGGAUGAAGACGACGCCGACGGUCAUGAACACUGCAACAAUGCGUG